AGGGGGAUGGCGCAGUUGGAGUGCGUUGCUCCUGGAAAAAAAAAAAAAAACCUGCUGUGGCCUGGCAGGUCGUCGGUUUGAAUCCGGCUCCCUCCA
This 96-nucleotide transfer RNA is filed under the name Thermochaetoides thermophila DSM 1495. Its description in RNAcentral is "tRNA-His (GTG) (tRNA-His-GTG-5-1)". It matches the Rfam family "tRNA". Rfam says of the family: Transfer RNA (tRNA) molecules are approximately 80 nucleotides in length. Their secondary structure includes four short double-helical elements and three loops (D, anti-codon, and T loops). The record is from RNAcentral. Lineage: Eukaryota; Fungi; Ascomycota; Sordariomycetes; Sordariales; Chaetomiaceae.